Molecule: ribosomal RNA, 438 nt
Filed under: Triticum aestivum (bread wheat)
Lineage: Eukaryota; Viridiplantae; Streptophyta; Magnoliopsida; Poales; Poaceae
Description: partial small subunit ribosomal RNA
Source: RNAcentral
AUGGGAGAUCUUAAUGAUAUUCUCUAUGAUGAGGACAAGAGUUCUCCCUAUGUUAAUAAAUACUGUAUGCAUGCUUUUCGUGCUUUAGUCAAACAAUGUGGCUUCAUUGAUCUAGGAUACAGUGGCCCUGCUUAUACUUGGACUAAUAAGCGAUACACUUCUAAACCUAUUAUGGAGCGCCUUGGUCGUUGUCUUGUUAAUGUUGAAUGGUGUGGUAUUUACCCAAGCUCAAAUGUUUUUAACCUGCCUAUCAUCUACAGUGAUCAUGCUCCUAUUCUUCUGUCUACUGAAGCUCAAACUCGUAAACCUAAGAGGAACUUUAAGUUUGAAAAUUGGUGGCUUAUGGAAGAGGAUUUUCAUACUCAUGCCAAAAUGUGUGGACUAGUUCAAGAAAUAAAGCUUUUCAUAAUAGGGCUACUAACCUGGCAAGGGCUCUGA